This 498-nucleotide ribosomal RNA is filed under the name uncultured bacterium. Its description in RNAcentral is "partial 16S ribosomal RNA". It matches the Rfam family "Bacterial small subunit ribosomal RNA", at positions 28 to 507 of the family's 1533-position model. The record is from RNAcentral.
GACGAACGCUGGCGGCGUGCCUAAUACAUGCAAGUCGAACGAGAGCGCCCGGUGCUUGCACUGGUCAAUCUAGUGGCGAACGGGUGAGUAACACGUGGGUAACCUGCCCAUCAGAGGGGGAUAACAUUCGGAAACGGAUGCUAAAACCGCAUAGGUCUUCGAACCGCAUGGUUUGAAGAGGAAAAGAGGCGCAAGCUUCUGCUGAUGGAUGGACCCGCGGUGCAUUAGCUAGUUGGUGAGGUAACGGCUCACCAAGGCCGUGAUGCAUAGCCGACCUGAGAGGGUGAUCGGCCACAUUGGGACUGAGACACGGCCCAAACUCCUACGGGAGGCAGCAGUAGGGAAUCUUCCGCAAUGGACGCAAGUCUGACGGAGCAACGCCGCGUGAGUGAAGAAGGUUUUCGGAUCGUAAAACUCUGUUGUUAGAGAAGAAUAAGUGCUAGAGUAACUGUUAGCGCCUUGACGGUAUCUAACCAGAAAGCCACGGCUAACUACGUG